GACGAACGCUGGCGGCGUGCUUAACACAUGCAAGUCGAACGGAAAGGCCCUGCUUUUGUGGGGUGCUCGAGUGGCGAACGGGUGAGUAACACGUGAGUAACCUGCCCUUGACUUUGGGAUAACUUCAGGAAACUGGGGCUAAUACCGGCUAGGAGCUCCUGCUGCAUGGUGGGGGUUGGAAAGUUUCGGCGGUUGGGGAUGGACUCGCGGCUUAUGAGCUUGAUGGUGGGGUAGUGGCUUACCAAGGCUUUGAAGGGUAGCCGGCCUGAGAGGCUGACCGGCCACAUUGGGACUGAGAUACGGCCCAGACGCCAACGGGAGGCAGCAGUGGGGAGGAUUGCACAAUGGGCGGAAGCCAGAUGCAGCAACGCCGCGUGCGGGAUGACGGCCUUCGGGUUGUAAACCACUGUCGCCUGUGACGAAGCGUGAGUGACGGUAAUGGGUAAAGAAGCACCGGCUAACUACGUG
Molecule: ribosomal RNA, 468 nt
Filed under: uncultured bacterium
Lineage: Bacteria
Description: partial 16S ribosomal RNA
Rfam family: Bacterial small subunit ribosomal RNA
Source: RNAcentral